CCUACGGGGGGCAGCAGUGAGGAAUAUUGGUCAAUGGGCGCGAGCCUGAUCCAGCCAAGCCGCGUGAAGGAUGACUGCCCUACGGGUUGUAAACUUCUUUUAUAAAGGAAUAAAGUGAGGCACGUGUGCCUUUUUGUAUGUCCUUUAUGAAUAAGGAUCGGCUAACUCCGUGCCAGCAGCCGCGGUAAUACGGAGGAUCCGAGCGUUAUCCGGAUUUAUUGGGUUUAAAGGGAGCGUAGAUGGGUUGUUAAGUCAGUUGUGAAGGUUUGAGGCUCAACCGUAAAAUUGCAAUUGAUACUGGCAGUCUUGAGUACAGUUGAGGUAGGCGGAAUUCGUGGUGUAGCGGUGAAAUGCUUAGAUAUCACGAAGAACACCGAUUGCGAAGGCAGCUUACUAAACUGCAACUGACAUUGAUGCUCGAAAGUGUGGGUAGCAAACAGGAUUAGAUACCCGGGUAGUC
This 460-nucleotide ribosomal RNA is filed under the name uncultured bacterium. RNAcentral's name for it is "partial 16S ribosomal RNA". It matches the Rfam family "Bacterial small subunit ribosomal RNA", at positions 338 to 795 of the family's 1533-position model. The record is from RNAcentral.